Molecule: ribosomal RNA, 1393 nt
Filed under: uncultured bacterium
Lineage: Bacteria
Description: 16S ribosomal RNA
Rfam family: Bacterial small subunit ribosomal RNA
Source: RNAcentral
UUAGAGUUUGAUCCUGGCUCAGGAUGAACGCUAGCGGCAGGCUUAACACAUGCAAGUCGAGGGAGAAUCGGAGUAGCAAUACAAAGAGGAAACCGGCGGAAGGGUGCGUAACGCGUGAGCAACUUGCCCGUAUCAGGGAGAUAACCGGUGGAAACGCCGACUAAUAUCCCAUAACAACAGAGAGCGCAUGCUUUUUGUUUGAAAGAAUUUCGGAUACGGAUGGGCUCGCGUGACAUUAGCUAGUUGGAGUGGUAACGGCACACCAAGACUACGAUAUCUAGGGGUUCUGAGAGGAAGGUCCCCCACAUUGGAACUGAGACACGGUCCAAACUCCUACGGGAGGCAGCAGUGAGGAAUAUUGGUCAAUGGACGGAAGUCUGAACCAGCCAUGCCGCGUGCAGGAUUAAGGCCCUAUGGGUCGUAAACUGCUUUUGUAUGAGAGCAAUAAGGUCCACGUGUGGAUCGAUGAGAGUAUCAUACGAAUAAGCAUCGGCUAACUCCGUGCCAGCAGCCGCGGUAAUACGGAGGAUGCGAGCGUUAUCCGGAUCUAUUGGGUUUAAAGGGUGCGUAGGCGGAAUGCCAAGUCAGCGGUGAAACGCACGUGCUUAACACGUGACCUGCCGUUGAAACUGGUGAUCUGGAAUACGGAUGCUGUGGGAGGAAUGUGUGGUGUAGCGGUGAAAUGCAUAGAUAUCACACAGAACACCGAUUGCGAAGGCAUCUCACAAAUCCGUUAUUGACGCUGAGGCACGAAAGUGUGGGGAUCAAACAGGAUUAGAUACCCUGGUAGUCCACACUGUAAACGAUGAUGACUCGCUGUCGGCGAUAUACAGUCGGUGGCCAAGCGAAAGCGAUAAGUCAUCCACCUGGGGAGUACGACCGCAAGGUUGAAACUCAAAGGAAUUGACGGGGGCCCGCACAAGCGGAGGAACAUGUGGUUUAAUUCGAUGAUACGCGAGGAACCUUACCCGGGCUCGAACGGUGCAGGAAGAGAACUAGAGAUAGUGACGUCCUUCGGGACCUGCAUCGAGGUGCUGCAUGGUUGUCGUCAGCUCGUGCCGUGAGGUGUCGGCUUAAGUGCCAUAACGAGCGCAACCCUUGUCGUCAGUUACCAGCAAGUAAGGUUGGGGACUCUGGCGAGACUGCCACCGUAAGGUGAGAGGAAGGGGGGGAUGACGUCAAAUCAGCACGGCCCUUACGUCCGGGGCGACACACGUGUUACAAUGGUGGGUACAGAGGGCAGCUAUCCGGCGACGGAGUGCAAAUCUCGAAAACCCAUCUCAGUUCGGGUCGGAGUCUGCAACUCGACUCCGUGAAGUUGGAUUCGCUAGUAAUCGCGCAUCAGCCAUGGCGCGGUGAAUACGUUCCCGGGCCUUGCACUCACCGCCCGUCA